RNAcentral lists this long non-coding RNA (367 nucleotides) under Gallus gallus (chicken). The record is from RNAcentral. Lineage: Eukaryota; Metazoa; Chordata; Aves; Galliformes; Phasianidae.
GGCAGAAUGAUCAUGCCUGGAGCUGCCAUAGUGAUCCUGGAGACAACGACCUGUGCAAUGCCCUUCACCGCUGCUCUCCUGGAAUGCCCAAGCUCGUUGUUGUCCUCAUCGGUCACUGAGAUCCCACGGAUGAUCUCCUGUUGCCUCAUCAUUGGGAUGUUCACACAGUUGGCAGCAGCUACAGCGGCAAAAGGGACCCAGCGGGCGAGCAAGGGAGGAGCACGCUUGGUGUAGAGGUUGAGUCCCACAGCAGUGGCCAGGGCUGUCGUGGUGGCCGUGACAUAAGCCACUCCUAUUUGCCUGGUGAUUUGCAACAGAUGCAUGGAAAUAUAAAACAAAACAGCCAGAGAGAUGGGGGAUGCGGCGU